Molecule: long non-coding RNA, 2377 nt
Filed under: Sus scrofa (pig)
Lineage: Eukaryota; Metazoa; Chordata; Mammalia; Artiodactyla; Suidae
Description: lncRNA (ENSSSCG00065028400.1)
Source: RNAcentral
GGGGCUCAGCUUCCUUCCCUCGGGAGAGGUCGAAGGACCCUCCUAGGGCUGGGGAAAUGCUUUCUCAGCGGGUGGUAGGGCAGCUGCGUCAGCACCACGUGGGCACUGGUUAGAAAAGCACAUUCUUGGGCCUUCUCAGAAGCUCUGGAGCAAGGCGCUGGAAUCUGUGUUUGGCACCGCAGAGAAAGGAGGUGACUCUGCCACCGUCGGAAGCUGCCCUAGAACCAGGGUUCCCAGAUCCUUGGUCCCCUCCACCCACUGGACACUGGGCUACAGCAAAGAAGCCACGGGCCACGCCUCCUGUGAUGAGGAUGCUGGGAGUAGGCUGGAUCUGAAUGCAGCUUGGACAGAGGUCUCCCUGUGUCUCUCAGACACUGCAGUCCAGGUGUGGCAGUGGCUGCAGACGUUGCCAGGGUCCAGGCUCACUCAGCAGCCGUGGGUUAGAUUCAGCUCCUCACCGGCUGAUGGACCAAGGGCCUCAGUUCCCUGCCCUGUGACCUCUCCAUAGGGCAGUUCAUGGCAGGGCAGCCAGCUUUGUGGACUAAGCAAGGGAGAAAAGCUGGAGGGAACAAGAUGGAAGUCUUGGUCCUAUAGAACCUAACGUCAAGAGCAACGUCCAUCACGCUUGCUGUGUUCUGUGGGUCAGAACCAGUCACCAGACCCAGCCCAGCAUCAGGGGGUGGGGAACACCCGGAGCUUAGAACCCCAGGAGGCGGGGACUCUUAGGGUCACAUUAGAAGGCUGCUGACCACAGUAGUGACCCCAAAGGCUUUGUUGGGUUUUGGGGGUUUUUGUUUGUUUGUUUGUUUUGUGUUUUUUUGGCCAUGUCCAUGACAUGUGGACAUUCCUGGGCCAGCUAUCAAACAGGAGCCGCAGCAGUGACAAUGCCAAGUCCUUAACCAUUGGGCCACCAGGGAACUCCAAGAAAGGCUUCUUUUUAAUGUUCAGUCCUGUGCCACUCAGAUCGUCUCCCACAUCAACUUCCUCACCUGGUUCUCACCCCACCCUUGGGGACGAGACAGCUGUGACUGUCCCCAAGGCCAGAGGGGCUCCGUGACUUUCCUCCCAAAGUUGCAUCACUAAUAGGCUGAAGGACUGUCAGCCAAGCCCGGAGCAUAGGACCCGCUGUGGGGGCAGGGAUGCAGGCUGCAGAGUCAGGCUGCCCAGGAGGACAGGCCACAACAGGACAGGCCUGGGGAGGGGCCAGGCUGGGCCUUGCCAGGGGCUUGGGCUACCCUCAAAGACACAAAGCGACACUUUGCUCCUGCACAUGAGACCGGCUCCGAGGAAUCAGUGGGGCGGCCAGAGACACUGGUUUGCCAAGCAGACGAGAAAGAGCAUCCUUGGCACGAACUCAGUUCCCUGCCCUGCCCCCAGCCAAGAAAGCAGACCUGAGAUUCCUCAGGGGCCAGCGUCCACCUGUCCCCUGCCACCCCUCCCCCCACACACCAGACGUGAACAAGGAAUCCACCCACCGCCCCCAGGCGCGUCUCCAGCAUUGCUCUCCUUGCCCAGGACCCUCGGAGCCUGCAGUGGAGGAAGGCGUCCUCUUGGUGGGGACACUGGCUUUGGCUCGGCCUGCGUGGCCUUCAUGCCGUACCAGGGUCACUGUCGCAGGAUGCUGCAAACUUGGCUUGAAUGUCAGAAAUGCCCCCUUGGCUCCUGAAAGGUCCCCCAGCCAACCACCUUUGUGUCUCGAUCCCGAAGAGUGUUAGAGAGAAGUAACGGAGCCUCCCCGGGAGAUGCGCUGGAGCAUCAAGGAGACCCCAGAGGGGCCCAAACAUCCUCCCAGCCUGGGCCCCUGACCCUCAGAAGUCGGACACCCCGGGCCUGUUCCUGACACUGCUUGGCGGCGUCCAUUUCCUUCCUGGAUGCGUCAGGCCAACCCCCCUCCGUGGGGCUGGGUCUCCUCUGUCACCUGCAGGAGCAGCAAACAUGUGCCUGUGGGUUAUGUGCCCAUAAAGCCAACAUAGCUUUAUGGUUUAAUUCCUUCAUUCACCCAUUCAUCCAUACAUCUAUUGAGCACCUACUGCAUACAAGGAACUGUCCCAAAUGCUAUUGAAUCAUACAAAAGGUCCUCCUUGUCACAGUUUCAAAGGAUUUCUAAACGCCCAUGGAAACAUUUUUAAAAAUCACCCACCUCGAUGUUCCCUGGAGGCUUAGUAGAUUAAGGACCCGGCAUUGUCACUGUUGUGACUUGGCGCAGGUUCGAUCCCUGGCCAGAGAACUUCUGCAUGACACAGAUGCAACCCCCCCCCCCCCCAAAAAAAAGAAAUAACUGCACUAUUACAUUUAGAAUGGAUAAGCAUUGAGAACAGUUUCCUGCUCAGGGAACUUUAUCCAAUCGCUUGCGAAAAUAGACUGUGAUAGAAAAUCA